This 95-nucleotide transfer RNA is filed under the name Streptomyces cinnamoneus. RNAcentral describes it as "tRNA-Leu". Lineage: Bacteria; Bacillati; Actinomycetota; Actinomycetes; Kitasatosporales; Streptomycetaceae. The record is from RNAcentral.
GAUGCGGGUCACGGGGUGGAGCGCCGCGUACUCCAGGGGCGCGGACGGAUCGAUGGACACGUCGAGCGGCGCGGGUUCGGCUCCCGCCCGCACCA